Molecule: ribosomal RNA, 253 nt
Filed under: uncultured bacterium
Lineage: Bacteria
Description: partial 16S ribosomal RNA
Rfam family: Bacterial small subunit ribosomal RNA
Source: RNAcentral
UACGUAGGGACCAAGCGUUGUCCGGAAUCAUUGGGCGUAAAGAGCGUGUAGGCGGCCUGUUAAGUCUUGCGUGAAAUCUCGGGGCUUAACUCCGAAACUGCAUUCGAUACUGCCGUGCUUGAGGACUGGAGAGGAGACUGGAAUUUACGGUGUAGCGGUGAAAUGCGUAGAUAUCGUAAGGAAGACCAGUGGCGAAGGCGGGUCUCUGGACAGUUCCUGACGCUGAGGCACGAAGGUCAGGGGAGCAAACGGG